This 301-nucleotide ribosomal RNA is filed under the name uncultured bacterium. RNAcentral describes it as "partial 16S ribosomal RNA". It matches the Rfam family "Bacterial small subunit ribosomal RNA", at positions 509 to 807 of the family's 1533-position model. The record is from RNAcentral.
CAGCCGCCGCGGUAAUACGUAGGUGGCAAGCGUUGUCCGGAAUUAUUGGGCGUAAAGGGCUCGCAGACGGUUUCUUAAGUCUGAUGUGAAAGCCCCCGGCUCAACCGGGGAGGGUCAUUGGGAACUGGGAAACUUGAGUGCAGAAGAGGAGAGUGGAAUUCCACGUGUAGCGGUGAAAUGCGUAGAGAUGUGGAGGAACACCAGUGGCGAAGGCGACUCUCUGGUCUGUAACUGACGCUGAGGAGCGAAAGCGUGGGGAGCGAACAGGAUUAGAUACCCGGGUAGUCCCUGUCUCUUAUAC